This is a small nucleolar RNA of Tachyglossus aculeatus (Australian echidna), 138 nucleotides long. The record is from RefSeq and is a predicted model, not a curated record. NCBI's taxonomy places the organism in Eukaryota, Metazoa, Chordata, Mammalia, Monotremata, Tachyglossidae.
ACCCUCUCAGGGUCACACCUGGUGAGUUUCCACUGCUCUACCAGUCUUGGCUAUGGGAGAGAGAGUCAAGCAGAGGCCUAGCCAUUGCAUUCCUAGCUUGGUCAGUGGCUAGAGGGUGGAAGACAAUCUGCUACAAGU